Daphnia magna is the source of this 919-nucleotide long non-coding RNA. RefSeq lists it as uncharacterized. The transcript has 2 exons. Lineage: Eukaryota; Metazoa; Arthropoda; Branchiopoda; Diplostraca; Daphniidae. The record is from RefSeq and is a predicted model, not a curated record.
CGUUCCGUACCCUUUAACAGAUAAAUAAGAUCAUGCAUGUUUGAUCAGUCGGUUAGAGCGCAGUUCUUCUAACGUGGUGGUCAGAAGUUCGAUGCGGUUAAAAUAUAUUAUUUUCAGAAAUUCGGAGUAAAAUCCAUACAAUUGAACAACACCUUCGUCUGCUAUGCCUGCAAUGGCGGACCAAACGUUAUCAACAGCCUUUGCUUUGUUUAUUUUGUGCAUUUUAUCGUUGUUUUUGUGCGUUUCCAGCCUCCAAGAUUGGAAAUGACAAAGAAAUGAGUUCUGUUCUUCGCCUCAUUUUUGCCUCAUCGUCAUCAAGCUGAUCGUCUUCGCUUCGCCAUCCUCGCUUCACCGUCCUCGCUUCACCGUCUUCACCUCGCCGUCUUCACCUCGCCACACCGUCUUCGCUUUGCCUUCUUCAAAUUGAUCGUCUUCGCCUCGCCGUCUUCGCCUCGCCGUCUUCGCCUCGCCGUCUUCGCCUCGCCGUCUUCGCCUCGCCGUCUUCGACUCGCCGUCUUCGCCUCAUCGUCUUCGAUCGCGCCCGUCUUCGUCUCAUCGCUGUCAUCGUGGAAACUCGCGUUUUUGGUAGUUUGUUUUGUUUUGUUUUGUAUUGGUGUAUAGUGUAUGUUUAAAGUUAACCCGUUGGCUGCCACCCAUUUUGCUCCCCUUUUUUUUUAGGUGUAGGGACCGGCGGCGCUGUUCUGCCUCAUGGUUGAUCACCCAUGGGGUGGGGCAGUCGCCUUGCGCCUUAGGGCGCCGUAGGCAAUGCACCAGUAGGGACUUCCCCUUGUCGAUGCGAUGGUGGAGUACCUGGGGUGUGCAUUCCCGUAAAGGUCUCCAUCGUCAAGUCAGCCCGGACUUGUCUUCGGACAAGUCCCCCUUUCAUCGGAUCCCUCUGAAACGAUGCGUAGUAACUGUA